GAAGAAGACUCUUCUCUUAAAUGUACGUGUAAAUCAGAAAAGACAAGCUACUGAUACUUAACACCCUUGAGCUCAAAGUAGCAACUAACCAAGAAAACCCUACUUUCAUUAGUGUUAACCUAACACAAGAACAUUCCGAGAAAGAUUUAAAGAAAAAGAAGGAACUCGGCAAAUAUUAACCUCGCCUGUUUACCAAAAACAUCGCCUCUUGAAUUUCUAUAAGAGGUCCAGCCUGCCCAGUGACCCUGUUCAACGGCCGCGGUAUCCUAACCGUGCGAAGGUAGCGUAAUCACUUGUUCUCUAAAUGUGGACUAGUAUGAAUGGCAUCACGAAGGUUAUACUGUCUCCUUUUUCUAAUCAGUGAAACUAAUCUCCCCGUGAAGAAGCGGGGAUAGCACUAUAAGACGAGAAGACCCUAUGGAGCUUCAAACAAUGCAGCAUCUGCCCCACAACACUGAAAUUUCCGAAUUAAAACUCCUCUGGGCAGUGUGACUGCGAGUUUUUGGUUGGGGUGACCACGGAGCAUAACAUAACCUCCAUGCUGAAAGAAUAUUUCUAAGCUAAGAACCACAAAUCCAAGCAUCAAUAAAUUGACAUCCAUUGACCCAAUACACUUGAACAACGAACCAAGUUACCCUAGGGAUAACAGCGCAAUCCACUUCAAAAGCUCCUAUCGACAAGUGGGUUUACGACCUCGAUGUUGGAUCAGGGUCUCCCAGUGGUGCAGCCGCUACUAAAGGUUCG
RNAcentral lists this ribosomal RNA (744 nucleotides) under Bufo gargarizans andrewsi (West China toad). Its description in RNAcentral is "partial 16S ribosomal RNA". It matches the Rfam family "Bacterial large subunit ribosomal RNA", at positions 1530 to 2575 of the family's 2925-position model. Lineage: Eukaryota; Metazoa; Chordata; Amphibia; Anura; Bufonidae. The record is from RNAcentral.